Molecule: ribosomal RNA, 322 nt
Filed under: uncultured eukaryote
Lineage: Eukaryota
Description: partial 18S ribosomal RNA
Rfam family: Eukaryotic small subunit ribosomal RNA
Source: RNAcentral
CCCUUAGAUGUUCUGGGCCGCACGCGUGCUACACUGAGUGGAUCAGCGGGUCAGGUUGCGCGAAAGUGUUUCCUAAUCUUGAAAUCCGCUCGUGAUGGGGAUUGACGGUUGCAAUUUUCCGUCAUGAACGAGGAAUACCUUGUAAGCGCGGGUCAUCAUCCCGCGCUGAAUACGUCCCUGCCCUUUGUACACACCGCCCGUCGCUCCUACCGAUUGAGUGGUCCGGUGAGGCUUUGGGAUCUGAGCAAAAAGAGCGUUUCGCUGUUUCUGCCCGGAAAACUCAGUCGAACCUUAUCAUUUAGAGGAAGGAGAAGUCGUAACA